AAACACAAACACACAAACCAAGUCCAACAACCAAAAAAAAAAAAAAAAGGUAAAAGAAAAAAAGAAUA
RNAcentral lists this non-coding RNA (68 nucleotides) under Compsopogon caeruleus. Lineage: Eukaryota; Rhodophyta; Compsopogonophyceae; Compsopogonales; Compsopogonaceae. The record is from RNAcentral.